Molecule: unclassified non-coding RNA, 604 nt
Filed under: Diabrotica virgifera virgifera (western corn rootworm)
Lineage: Eukaryota; Metazoa; Arthropoda; Insecta; Coleoptera; Chrysomelidae
Description: uncharacterized LOC126884932
Source: RNAcentral
ACUAUCUACUUUCUUCAAAGAGGACGAUAAAAAUACAAUACAAUAUUUUUUGAACAAUUUUCUUUGUCUCUUUUUGCAGGUGCAAAAACGCGACUAUAGAAGGACGCAGGUACCAUAGUAUCCCAGCUGCUACAUCUACAAUUUUUCCAUUUCGCAUUUACUCGUCAGUGAAAGGUUGCGACGAAAUAAAAUAAUAUUACAAGUAAGUAUUAAAUUGAUAUAGUAUUGAAACGUUUAUAAUAAUCAUUAAAAAUAAGAUUCAGUACACGUAUAAUUGCAUCUGUUUAUUUGGCAGCAUUCAGAAUUCAAGGAUCAAUAAGAAAUGUUUAAUAGCAGUUGUUCAUCCUCAUACAUUGAAACAACAUACAGCCAGGAUAUGAGAAUAGAGACUACUAAGAGGCGAGUUAGAUGAAUUGGUAGAUCUCGAUUCCGAUGACUGCGAUUUAAUUUUAACCAAACAAGAAAAGAAACGUUUAAAUGCAAAACGCCGAGCUAUACUAAAGAGAAUGAUUCCACCGAAAAGAUACCCCACCAGAAAUGCAGAUAUUGACUAAAAAUAAUUAUUGUUGGUUUAUAUACAUAUUUAUAUUUGAUGUGAUAUUUA